Drosophila bipectinata is the source of this 254-nucleotide non-coding RNA. NCBI's taxonomy places the organism in Eukaryota, Metazoa, Arthropoda, Insecta, Diptera, Drosophilidae. The record is from RefSeq and is a predicted model, not a curated record.
UGCGUUACCCGUCGACGGUCACACAACGGCAAGUUUUCCCCGAUAUUUGUUGCAAAUUGUUACAGAAAAUCGAUCGCAGAUUUUUCGGUGUGAGAAUUAAAUAGAGAAAGUGUUACAAAAAUGUGAAACGCCGAGAAAAUUAUCGAUAAUAAACGAAUUUUUGAAAAAUAAACGCAAAACAAGCACCAACAUGAAAAAUUUUAGAGUAUGUGUGUUUCAUUGCCAAAGCAACAACAACAACAACAACACCAACG